This 251-nucleotide unclassified non-coding RNA is filed under the name Hevea brasiliensis (rubber tree). The record is from RNAcentral. Lineage: Eukaryota; Viridiplantae; Streptophyta; Magnoliopsida; Malpighiales; Euphorbiaceae.
GUUUUAUUAUAAAAUUUUUUAUUUAUGUAAGAUAAUAUAUCAUAUAUUUGUUGUUUAGCCAAUAGCCCAAUAGUAGGAAUUCGAGUGACCACCCCAUUUUCAUCAAGCCAAACCCAGACCCUGUUCAAUCUGUAGUCCAGAAUCACAGGCAUUCCCUCCUUGAUCACGAUUGCUCCCACAUUUUUAUUCUAUGGUAGCCACUGCAGAGUCCCCGUUGGCCCCGACGAGCUCCGGCCAUGAACUCUUAACUG